Molecule: ribosomal RNA, 1343 nt
Filed under: uncultured bacterium
Lineage: Bacteria
Description: 16S ribosomal RNA
Rfam family: Bacterial small subunit ribosomal RNA
Source: RNAcentral
GACGAACGCUGGCGGCGUGCUUAACACAUGCAAGUCGAACGGAAAGGCCCUGCUUUUGUGGGGUGCUCGAGUGGCGAACGGGUGAGUAACACGUGAGUAACCUGCCCUUGACUUUGGGAUAACUUCAGGAAACUGGGGCUAAUACCGGAUAGGAGCUCCUGCUGCAUGGUGGGGGUUGGAAAGUUUCGGCGGUUGGGGAUGGACUCGCGGCUUAUCAGCUUGUUGGUGGGGUAGUGGCUUACCAAGGCUUUGACGGGUAGCCGGCCUGAGAGGGUGACCGGCCACAUUGGGACUGAGAUACGGCCCAGACUCCUACGGGAGGCAGCAGUGGGGAAUAUUGCACAAUGGGCGGAAGCCUGAUGCAGCAACGCCGCGUGCGGGAUGACGGCCUUCGGGUUGUAAACCGCUUUCGCCUGUGACGAAGCGUGAGUGACGGUAAUGGGUAAAGAAGCACCGGCUAACUACGUGCCAGCAGCCGCGGUGAUACGUAGGGUGCGAGCGUUGUCCGGAUUUAUUGGGCGUAAAGGGCUCGUAGGUGGUUGAUCGCGUCGGAAGUGUAAUCUUGGGGCUUAACCCUGAGCGUGCUUUCGAUACGGGUUGACUUGAGGAAGGUAGGGGAGAAUGGAAUUCCUGGUGGAGCGGUGGAAUGCGCAGAUAUCAGGAGGAACACCAGUGGCGAAGGCGGUUCUCUGGGCCUUUCCUGACGCUGAGGAGCGAAAGCGUGGGGAGCGAACAGGCUUAGAUACCCUGGUAGUCCACGCUGUAAACGGUGGGUACUAGGUGUGGGGUCCAUUCCACGGGUUCCGUGCCGUAGCUAACGCUUUAAGUACCCCGCCUGGGGAGUACGGCCGCAAGGCUAAAACUCAAAGGAAUUGACGGGGCCCCGCACAAGCGGCGGAGCAUGCGGAUUAAUUCGAUGCAACGCGUAGAACCUUACCUGGGUUUGACAUGGAUCGGGAGCGCUCAGAGAUGGGUGUGCCUCUUUUGGGGUCGGUUCACAGGUGGUGCAUGGCUGUCGUCAGCUCGUGUCGUGAGAUGUUGGGUUAAGUCCCGCAACGAGCGCAACCCUUGUUCACUGUUGCCAGCACGUUAUGGUGGGGACUCAGUGGAGACCGCCGGGGUCAACUCGGAGGAAGGUGGGGAUGACGUCAAGUCAUCAUGCCCCUUAUGUCCAGGGCUUCACGCAUGCUACAAUGGCUGGUACAGAGAGUGGCGAGCCUGUGAAGGUGAGCGAAUCUCAGAAAGCCGGUCUCAGUUCGGAUUGGGGUCUGCAACUCGACCUCAAGAAGUCGGAGUCGCUAGUAAUCGCAGAUCAGCAACGCUUCGGUGAAUACGUUCCCGGG